ACGCUCGACACCUACGGAAGGCAGCAGUGAGGAAUAUUGGUCAAUGGGCGCUAGCCUGAACCAGCCAAGUAGCGUGAAGGAUGAAGGCUCUAUGGGUCGUAAACUUCUUUUAUAUAAGAAUAAAGUGCAGUAUGUAUACUGUUUUGUAUGUAUUAUAUGAAUAAGGAUCGGCUAACUCCGUGCAAGCAGCCGCGGUAAUCUGAGCGGGCUGGCAAGGC
This 218-nucleotide ribosomal RNA is filed under the name uncultured bacterium. RNAcentral describes it as "partial 16S ribosomal RNA". It matches the Rfam family "Bacterial small subunit ribosomal RNA", at positions 326 to 539 of the family's 1533-position model. The record is from RNAcentral.